AUGGCAGUCUCCGAAAAGCCAGCGAUAGAGUAGGAC
This 36-nucleotide non-coding RNA is filed under the name unclassified sequences. The record is from RNAcentral.